Molecule: non-coding RNA, 71 nt
Organism: Phycisphaerae bacterium SM1_79
Lineage: Bacteria; Pseudomonadati; Planctomycetota; Phycisphaerae
Source: Rfam
GCGGGUGUAGCAUAGUGGUAAUGCACCGGCCUUCCAAGCCGGCUACGAGGGUUCGAUCCCCUUCACCCGCU